RNAcentral lists this transfer RNA (71 nucleotides) under Hominimerdicola alba SY3. RNAcentral's name for it is "Ruminococcus albus SY3 tRNA". It matches the Rfam family "tRNA". From Rfam's summary of the family: Transfer RNA (tRNA) molecules are approximately 80 nucleotides in length. Their secondary structure includes four short double-helical elements and three loops (D, anti-codon, and T loops). Further hydrogen bonds mediate the characteristic L-shaped molecular structure. tRNAs have two regions of fundamental functional importance: the anti-codon, which is responsible for specific mRNA codon recognition, and the 3' end, to which the tRNAs corresponding amino acid is attached (by aminoacyl-tRNA synthetases). tRNAs cope with the degeneracy of the genetic code in two manners: having more than one tRNA (with a specific anti-codon) for a particular amino acid; and 'wobble' base-pairing, i.e. permitting non-standard base-pairing at the 3rd anti-codon position. The record is from Rfam by way of RNAcentral. Lineage: Bacteria; Bacillati; Bacillota; Clostridia; Eubacteriales; Oscillospiraceae.
AGGAAAGUAGUUCAAUGGCAGAAUGGCGGUCUCCAAAACUGCAGAUCACAGUUCGACCCUGUGCUUUCCUG